Molecule: ribosomal RNA, 253 nt
Filed under: uncultured bacterium
Lineage: Bacteria
Description: partial 16S ribosomal RNA
Rfam family: Bacterial small subunit ribosomal RNA
Source: RNAcentral
UACGUAGGGUGCGAGCGUUAAUCGGAAUUACUGGGCGUAAAGCGUGCGCAGGCGGUGAAUCAAGUCAGAUGUGAAAUCCCCGGGCUUAACCUGGGAACUGCGUUUGAAACUGAUUCGCUAGAAUUUAGCAGAGGGGGGUAGAAUUCCACGUGUAGCAGUGAAAUGCGUAGAGAUGUGGAGGAAUACCAAUGGCGAAGGCAGCCCCCUGGGCUAGAAUUGACGCUCAUGCACGAAAGCGUGGGGAGCAAACAGG